CCAUCUAACUUUAUCACCUUCACUUUAUCAACUCAUAAUCUCACCCUCAUCCUUGACGAUCAAUUUCAUUCUUGUCCUCAAAUCUAGGAUUAGGAAUUCAAAUCAAUCAUCACUUGUCCCAACCUUCUAUCCGAAAUCUUUGACCUUCUCUGCCGGGACAUAAAGAGAUCAAUGUUUCUCGACAAAUCUACCUCCGCGAUAUCCGAUACAUAUAAACUCAACUGCUUCCACACCACAACUAUGAGUUUCGUUCGCCUUGACACUUUAUCGGACCAAAAUUAAGCGUGAGGUUGACCCAUGAGAAACUUUGGAGGAUCUAAUUCUCACUGUUGGACAUGGAUUACUCAUCAUCCUCUUUGUUCGCAUUUCUCGACCUUCAUUGUUAUUUGUAUUUCUCCUUAUGGUUUAUAACACAAUCCAUCAUGCUCAUAUACCUUUGUGUUUCUAUAGAGGAUGCUCAACUUACCCCUGUUUUACAUCUUGGAGCUGGAGCAUGUGCUGGAAUAAUUGCUCUGUCUGGAGCUUAUCCAAUGGAUAUGGUCCAAGGCAUGAUAAAAGUACAAGUCCAUUUUUCAUUUUAGCAAAUGAUUGCUUCUGUUGUUGUGGAUUAUAAUGGUAGUUGUAAUAUUAAUUGAAGAAAGUAUAUAUGGUCCCAGAGUUUGACAGAGAGUUUUUUGCCUUGUAUUUGCAGUACCGAGGAAUGUUCUAUGCUUUUACUACUAUACCUAUUUUAUUAAGAAUAUUUACAUGCUUGGUCUUGUUGAGUUUUUCAAUUUUUUUUUUAAAUUGUUGGGUUAACAAGUGGGUUGAUCCUUUUAUCAAUUUAUUUAAUUGUUUAAAAUUGAACUUUAAAUUUUAAAAAUGGUCCUAGUAGGUAGGAUUUUAGGAAGGGUGCAUCCCUAGGUUCUCUGUUUGUACAUAAUUGAUAGUGGUAGGAUCUAAUGGUAUGUACUAGCUACAUUUAUUCAAUUAGUCAUGUUGUACCAUUGAGCCAAAGUCAGCUAAGAGCAACAUUUAGGUAUUUAUAUGGAUAAUACCUCACAUUAUUAGAGGCAAGCUAUAUUUCAUGAUUCUCUAUAGGGCUAAAAAUGGAAAGCUAAUGCAUUCGUAUGUUGUUUAUAUUUAGGAUCACAAUUCUAAAAACUUUCCAAUACAAUUCAUAACAAAUACUGAUUAUUGUUACCACUACGGUCUCCACUGCCAAUUACCCUGUCUGAUCCCCCAUUAGCCACAUCAUGCUAAUGAAACAAAUGUCUCCAUAGGUUUCUCAACCUUAGCCAACGCAGAGGGUCUAUCACAUGUUCAUACCAUCAGAAAAUGCAUUCUAGAUUUGAAGUGGAUGACUUUUUGUUGUUGUUGUUUAUGACAAAUAGGCGACUGAUUCUAGCAUGAACAAAAAGAUGGUGCAGUUAUGCUAUAACAUUGGUUUAUCUAUUUUGGGAAACUUUACCAUAAAAGAAGUUAUGCUCUAUUGGUGCAGUUCUUGCUGAAACAAAACUUGGAUCAGUUAUGAUUAAUUGUUUAGGCCAUUUGCAGUGUCUAGGCCAUUUGCAUCAAAGCCAACAAGAAAAAGACUAUGCAAAAGUGGCCCUGCUACUGCACAAAAGAGAC
RNA transcript from Vicia villosa (hairy vetch), 1611 nucleotides. RefSeq lists it as uncharacterized. The transcript has 4 exons. The record is from RefSeq and is a predicted model, not a curated record. NCBI's taxonomy places the organism in Eukaryota, Viridiplantae, Streptophyta, Magnoliopsida, Fabales, Fabaceae.